CCCUUAGAUGUUCUGGGCUGCACGCGCGCUACACUGAAGCUAUCAACACGUUUUCCCUCCCUGAGAAGGGCGGGUAACCUCUUGAAUCAGCUUCGUGGUAGGGAUCGGGGCUUGCAAUUGUUCCCCGUGAACCAGGAAUUCCUAGUAGACGCGAGUCAUAAGCUCGCAUCGAUUAAGUCCCUGCCCUUUGUACACACCGCCCGUCGCUACUACCGAUUGAACGUUUUAGUGAGGCAUUUGGACCGACGCAUCUCAGUUUAACCGCUGGUUUGUGUUGGAAAGACUUCCAAACUUGAGCGUUUAGAGGAAGUAAAAGUCGUAACA
RNAcentral lists this ribosomal RNA (324 nucleotides) under uncultured eukaryote. Its description in RNAcentral is "partial 18S ribosomal RNA". It matches the Rfam family "Eukaryotic small subunit ribosomal RNA", at positions 1470 to 1796 of the family's 1831-position model. The record is from RNAcentral.